GGGCAAUGACAUGGGAAGAAAGUCUGAUGGAGCACGCCGCGUGAGUGAUGAAGGUUUUCGGAUCGUAAAACUCUGUUGUCAUUAGAGAGGGACAGGUAUGAGAGGUAAUGCUCAUGCUAUGACCGCUACCUUGCGAGAAAGCCACGGCUAACUACGUGCCAGCAGCCGCGGUAA
RNAcentral lists this ribosomal RNA (174 nucleotides) under Exiguobacterium sp. RNAcentral describes it as "partial 16S ribosomal RNA". It matches the Rfam family "Bacterial small subunit ribosomal RNA", at positions 356 to 523 of the family's 1533-position model. Lineage: Bacteria; Bacillati; Bacillota; Bacilli; Caryophanales. The record is from RNAcentral.